AAUCAACGCUGGCGGCGUGCCUCAGACAUGCAAGUCGAACGCGAAAGUUCCCUUCGGGGAGCAAGUAGAGUGGCGCACGGGUGAGUAACACGUAGGUAAUUUGCCUUCGGGUGGGGAAUAACAGUCGGAAACGACUGCUAAUACCGCAUAAUGCAGCGGCUCGACAUCGAGACAGUUGUUAAAGCGGGGGAUCCUUCGGGACCUCGCGCCUGAAGAGAAGCCUGCGGCAGAUUAGCUAGUUGGUGAGGUAAUGGCCCACCAAGGCUACGAUCUGUAACCGGCCUGAGAGGGCGGUCGGUCACACUGACACUGACAUACGGGUCAGACUCCUACGGGAGGCAGCAGUCGGGAAUUUUGGGCAAUGGGCGCAAGCCUGACCCAGCAACGCCGCGUGAAGGAUAGAAAUUUUUCGG
This 413-nucleotide ribosomal RNA is filed under the name uncultured bacterium. RNAcentral's name for it is "bacterial SSU rRNA". It matches the Rfam family "Bacterial small subunit ribosomal RNA", at positions 32 to 421 of the family's 1533-position model. The record is from RNAcentral.